GAGACACCAUGGAGACCUGGGGGACAUCGUGGGGACCUCGGGGACAAGGGGACAUCGUGGGGACCUUGGGGACAUCGUGGGGACCUCGGGGACAAGGGGACAUGGAGGGGACCUCCACAAUGGGGGGACAUUGUGGGGACCUCCAAAAUGGGGAGACAUCAUGGGAGCCUCGGGGACAUCAUGGGGACCUCCACAAUGGGGAGACACCAUGGAGACCUUGGGGACAUCGUGGGGACCUCGGGGACAAGGGGACAUCGUGGGGAACUCCAAAAAGGGGGGACAUUGUGGGGACCUCGGGGACAAGGGGACAUCGAGGGGAACUCCACAGUGGGGGGACAUCGUGGGGACCUCCACAACAGGGGACAUCGUGGGGACCUCGGGGACAAGGGGACAUUGUGGGGACCUCGGGGACAAGGGGACAUCGAGGGGAACUCCACAGUGGGGGGACAUCGUGGGGACCUCCACAACAGGGGACAUCGUGGGGAGCUCNNNNNNNNNNNNNNNNNNNNNNNNNNNNNNNNNAUCCAUUGUGAGAGGGCAUUGUGGGGACCUCAGGGAUAAGGGGACAUCAUGGGGACCUUUGGGACAAGGGGACAUCGUGGAGACCUCCAGGACAAGGGGACAUCAUGGGGACCUCCACAAUGGGGGGACAUUGUGGGGACCUCAAUGUGGGACAUCGUGGAGACCUCGGGGACAAGGGGACAUCGUGGGGACCUUCACAAUGGGGGGACAUUGUGGGGACCUCUGGGACAAGGGGACAUCGUGGGGACCUUGGGGACAAGGGGACAUUGAGGGGAAGUCCAUUGUGAGAGGGCAUUGUGGGGACCUCAGGGAUAAGGGGACAUCAUGGGGACCUUUGGGACAAGGGGACAUCGUGGAGACCUCCAGGACAAGGGGACAUCAUGGGGACCUCCACAAUGGGGGGACAUUGUGGGGACCUCAAUGGGGGACGACCUCCAAAAUGGGGGGACAUUGUGGGGACUUCGGGGACAAGAGGACAUUCAAGGGACCUUUGAGAGAAGAGGACAUCGUGGGGACCUCCAGAAUAAGGGGACAUUAUGGGGACCUUGGGGACAUCGUGGGGACCUCGGGGACAAGGGGACAUCGAGGGGAACUCCACAGUGGGGGGACAUUGUGGGGACCUUGGGGACAAGGGGACAUCAAGGGGACCUCCAGAAUAAGGGGACAUUAUGGGGACCUUGGGGACAUCGUGGGGACCUCGGGGACAAGGGGACAUCGAGGGGAACUCCACAGUGGGGGGACAUUGUGGGGACCUUGGGGACAAGGGGACAUCAAGGGGACCUCCAGAAUAAGGGGACAUUAUGGGGACCUUGGGGACAUCGUGGGGACCUCGGGGACAAGGGGACACAGUGGGCAGUUCUGGGACGAGGGGAUGGAGGUGGCACAUGGGUGGCGGGGACAGAAGUGACAUGCUGGUGGCACCUGUGUGACAAGGAGUGUCACCGCCAUGGCUGGGUGAAAGCAGUGCCACCAUUACGGUCACGUGACACAGGUGCCACCACCACGG
RNAcentral lists this long non-coding RNA (1528 nucleotides) under Chrysolophus pictus (golden pheasant). RNAcentral's name for it is "lncRNA (ENSCPIG00010007757.1)". Lineage: Eukaryota; Metazoa; Chordata; Aves; Galliformes; Phasianidae. The record is from RNAcentral.